UUGAACUUCCCAGACUCCAGAACUACUCCUGCCCCUGCCACGAGAACACACCCUUUCCAGUUUGCUGGAGAAAUAUAAGAGAAGUCCAGUGAAAGAGAGCUGAGUUUCCCCAAUGAUGCCAUCAAGAUGAACUAACUACAGUUAACCAGCCAGCUGAUAGCAGAUGCAUGAGUGAGCCCAGCUGAGAGCAGGUUGUGCAAGCAUGGCACGUGCAUCUGUUUGGCUUGUGGUGAGGCCUCAGGAAGCUUACAGUCAUGGUGGAAGGCAAAGAGGGAGCCAGUACAUCACGUGAACUCGUAGAGUGAGAACUCAUUCACUACCAUGAAGACAACACCAAGCCAUUCCUGAGUGCCUACAAUAGUUCCUGGUAUGUAGAAGGUAUACAAUAAAUAUUGGCGGAGUGAAGGAACAAAUGGGAUUUGCUUGAUUCUGCUGCAGAAGACUAAGAAAAAGACAUAAAUGAAUAAAUAACUAGUAGAAUGUUAACACAAUCAGAAAAAGGACCAUUUCUUUUCAUUUGGAUGUCUCAAAUCUAUUUGUUGUUUUUGUUGUUGUUGUUUUUCUGGCUGGGCUUGAAAUGUAGGCAUGCAGCCAGGAGGCUCCAUGCUGACUAAUGAGAUAGAGGUACCCAUUUAGCCCAGCAAUAUUCAUACAUUGUAUAUGCAUUCAUUUUUCUCUAGUGACUUUUUAAUAUAUUUUGGUGAAGAUAUUCCCAAGAUAAUGAAGAUAUGUUGAGUGGGCAUUAAAAGUGAUGAGUCUUUUUUUCCAUUAUCAAAGACAAAUACAGGUGUGUGAUGUAUGCAGAGAAUUAGAAGUAGGGAAAAAAAUGAGGGAAUCCAAAAUAAUGAAAAGAAAUUAAAGCUCUCCAAUAAUCGAAAGAAAGGCCAAACUGAAAACAUAAAUCUCCAGACUCUGCAAGGAUUUAUACUGAUGUGGGGCAUGUGGACCAAUGGCUUUCAGGAUGUGAUUCAUUUUGAAAAAAGUGUCAUUU
RNAcentral lists this long non-coding RNA (991 nucleotides) under Homo sapiens (human). RNAcentral's name for it is "non-protein coding LINC02246:21". The record is from RNAcentral. Lineage: Eukaryota; Metazoa; Chordata; Mammalia; Primates; Hominidae.